Molecule: microRNA precursor, 79 nt
Filed under: Medicago truncatula (barrel medic)
Lineage: Eukaryota; Viridiplantae; Streptophyta; Magnoliopsida; Fabales; Fabaceae
Description: MIR5269 microRNA precursor family
Rfam family: MIR5269 microRNA precursor family
Source: Rfam by way of RNAcentral
UUGGUUUAAAUCAUUCUGGGCCUACACUUUGAAAAUUGAGUUCACACAAAGUGGUGAGAUACACAUUGAUUUCAUCCAA